Prunus dulcis (almond) is the source of this 4096-nucleotide RNA transcript. It is a transcript of the gene named disease resistance protein RPV1-like, with no coding region annotated. The transcript is spliced from 6 exons. The record is from RefSeq and is a predicted model, not a curated record. NCBI's taxonomy places the organism in Eukaryota, Viridiplantae, Streptophyta, Magnoliopsida, Rosales, Rosaceae.
UUGUAAUUUUGUUUUACUUGAACAAUCAUACCACACAAUCCCAGUCAAGUCAACAAAGCUAGCUAGCUUAUCUCUAGUCUCUGAAACUCCACACUCGCUUUCGAUUCUAAUAAUCAAGGCAACUAGUCUCUCCAGCUGCAACUCUUUCUACUUCUCUUCCUUCGAUUCCCCUGAUUCUUGAGCUCCAACGUGAUCAUGGCUGCUUCUUCUGCUCCUCCUGCUCCUAUCCUCCAUCCUCAAGAAAAGUAUGAUGUGUUUCUUAGUUUCAGAGGUGCAGAUACCCGCUACACUAUUACCAGCCAUCUUCAUGCUGCUUUACGUGGGAAGAAAAUCAAAACCUACAUAGACGACAAACUUGAGAGAGGAGAUGAAAUUGCACCCGCCCUUGUCGAAGCAAUCCACAAAUCGAAGCUUUCAGUAAUCAUUUUCUCGAAAAACUAUGCUUCUUCUACUUGGUGUUUGGAUGAACUUGUGCAUAUAUACUAGGAUGCAGAGAGAGAGAUGGACAGUUUGUUAUACCCAUUUUUUACGACAUUGAUUCAUCUCAUGUACGAAAACAGCUGGGGAGUUAUGCAGAUGCAUUUGCUAAACAUGAACAACGUUGGAAGGACAGUGUGGACAAGGUGCUCAUGUGGAGAUAUGCUUUGGAGAAAGCAGCCAAUCUAUCUGGGUUUGAUAAUUCAAACAAAACUAGGACGGAGGCACAUUUAGUUGAGACUCUUGUUGAAGAUAUUUUGACCAAACUGAAUCGAAAAUCCUCAAGUGAUUUAAAGGGCCUGGUUGCAAUUGAAAGCCAAAUUGAGCAAAUUGAAUCAUCCUUAUGCAUUGAUUCACCAGAGGUUUGCUUUGUAGGCAUUUGGGGCAUUGGUAUUGGCAAGACCACCCUUGCUGGUGCUGUAUAUAGUCGACUCUCUUCUAAAUUCAAGACUUCUUGUUUUCUUGCAAAUGUUAGGGAGGAAUCAGAAAAGCAUGGAUUAAAUCACUUGCGAAAUAAACUUCUUCGUGUGUUAUUAGAGGACGAAAAUCUUACAAUCGACACUCCAUCAAUAGGAUCAACUUUUGUUGGAGAGAGGCUUUGCCGUACAAAGGUCCUCAUUGUUCUUGAUGAUGUGAACGACAUGAGCCAAUUAGAACUUCUAGCUGGAGAUCAUGUUGGGUUUGGCCCUGGAAGUAGAAUCAUUAUAACAACUAGAAAUAGGCGCCUGCUUAAGAAGAAGGUUGAUGAUGAUAAGAUAUACAAGGUUAAAGGAUUACAUUGUGAUGAAGCUCUUCAGCUCUUUCAUUUUCAUGCCUUCAAAAAUAACUCUCCAAGAACCGAUUAUGCAGAGUUGUCAGAAAUGGUGGUAGAUUAUGCCGAAGGCAUUCCGUUAGCUCUUAAGAUUUUCGGUUCCUCAUUCCUUCACUGCAAGAGCAAAGAAGAAUGGGAAAAUGAACUGAAAAAAUUGAAAAACUUUCCCAGCAAAAAAAUUCAGAAUGUGUUGAGACUAAGUUAUGAUGGAUUAGACAAAAAUGAGAAGGAGAUAUUCCUUGAUAUAGCAUGUUUUUAUAAAGGAAUGAACGUGGAUUUUGUGAAAAGAAUGUUAGACAUUCGUGGUUUCUUUGUGGUGGGAAUUGGAGUUCUCAUUGAUACAUCUCUAAUAUCAAUUUCAACAAGUUACUGCCUAGAGAUGCAUGAUUUGGUACAAGAAAUCGGUUGGGAAAUUGUUCGCGAACAAUGUAUUGAGCCCGGAAAGCGCGAUAGGUUGUUCAUUGCUGAGGAUGUCUGUCAUGUACUCAAAAACAAUACAGCAACUGCGAUGGUUCAAGCCAUAUCCUUUAACACGUCUAACAUUAGAGAGCUACACUUGAAUCAUGCAGCCUUCAAAAAGAUGUACAAUCUAAGAUUGCUAGAAAUUUAUGAUUCUAGCUAUGGCCAGAAGUACUGCAAAUUAUACCUUUCUCAAGGUCUUCAGACUCUUCCUGAAUCUCUUAGGUAUCUUUACUGGGAUGGAUACCCUUUGAAAUCUUUGCCAUCAAAAUUUUCUCCAGAAAAUCUUGUUGAGCUCAAAAUGCCCCGCAGCCUGGUUAAGCAACUUGGGGAAGAAGACCUGAUUUAUCUCGGGAACUUAAAAUUGAUGGAUCUUAGUUUCUGCAAACAUCUGACAGAACUUCCAGAUCUUUCUCAGAGUCGAAAAAUGGAGCAUAUAAAUCUUUAUGGCUGUACAAGUUUGGUUCGAAUUCCUUCCUGUUUCCAGUAUCUUGGCAAUCUUACUUUUCUUGACCUGGGUUGCUGCUCAAAUCUCAAAUAUCUCCAGGAGAUGCCAGGCAAUAUUUAAUUAUUGAAUUUAGAAAGCACUGCAAUUGAGGAAUUGCCUUCAUCUGUUUGGUCUAACAAAAAAAUAUCUUUCUUGAAUAUUCAACGCUGUAAAUACCUUAAGAAUCUUCCCAGCAGCAGUUGCAAGCUAAAAUGCUUUGGUUUUAGUCUAGGGGGCUGCUCAUCUCUCGGUAAGAUUUCAGAACUUCCCAGGAAUAUAAGUGUAUUAGAUUUGAGUUGUACAGCAAUAGAAGUGGUGCCCUCAUCAAUCGAGUGUCUCUUUGGUCUCACUACAAUUUACCUGAAUGAUUGCAAAAGGCUUGUGAGUCUGCCAACCAGCAUUUUUAAGCUGAAAUCUCUUAAGAGUCUUGAUCUCAAUGGUUGCUCUAACUUUGAAUGCUUCCCCGACAUCUUGGAGCCUACUGUACAUCUGGAACUUCUUAAUUUAUCUAAAACUGCAGUUAAACAGCUACCCGUGGAGAUUGAAAAUCUGAUUGGGCUUCAAACAUUAAACCUAUGCCGGUGCAAGGACCUUGAGUUUGUCCCAGAUAGCAUCUACGAUCUGAACUGUCUUAAAACUCUCAGUUUUUAUGGCUGUUUGAAAAUUAAAAGCCUGCCUCCCUUCUCGAUCGGUUUGUGCUCUUUGGAAGAACUAAACCUCGGUUACUGCAAUAUAUUACAAGCCCCAGAUCCCCUCGUUUGUUUAACGUCAUUAAGAUCUUUAAAUCUAAGUGGAACCAGGAUUCAGAGCUUACCUGCAAGCAUCAAACAAGCUUCUCAGCUGCGUUACCUGUGGUUAACAAAUUGCAAGAGACUUCCAUCUUUACCUGAGCUCCCUGUGCUGCGUCAUCUUGAAGCACAUGGCUGCACGUCAUUGAAGAAUGCUUGGAGGAAUAUGAUGGGUGAAGCACAGCUUAGAAUUAUGCAAAUGUCAACUGCGUCAUCAAACCCUACAGAUGAUGUAUAUUAUGGUUAUGGUCCUGCAAUUCCUUCAGUUAGCAUUGUUUGUCCAGGAAAUGAAAUUCCAACAUGGUUCAGCUAUCAAAACGAGGGAUCUUCAAUAAAUAUCACCCUUCCUCCAAAUUGGUUUCGUACAGAUUUAUUGGGUUUAGCUCUAUCCCUUGUCGUUGAAUUCAACAACUAUAAUGUUAAACGGGCGGGUUUUGCAUGUACAGCCAAUUUCAAAUCCAGUAAUGGUGAAGGCCAUGAAAUCAGUUGUCAUUUGCAUCGUCUGUAUAAGGGUAUAAGCAGCUCUGGGCGGAACAAUUUAAAUUCAGAUUAUGUGUUUGCAUGGUAUACUGCAUCCAUGCUUGUAGCCGCAGCAAGAUAUUCCAGUGGCACUGGUUUUGACAAUGUCACUGAGGCCUCUGUUGAUUUCUUCCUGAUGGAUUUAAACGGGUUUCCCCUUAAGGAUUACAAAGUUCAGGUGAAGAAGUGUGGGUUGUGGUUGCUGUACGCUGAAGAUGAGAAUUUGAUGUCAUGCUGAGAAAUUUUCUGCUCUAACUUGGAACAAGAAGAUGAACUACUUCCGCAGCUCUAAGCGAGUGUUAGUGCUGUGGCUGUAGCUGAGGAUGCUUUUGGGUUUGUCAAGCCUAGGGAUGCCCCAGAAUUGCUGAUAAAUGUAUGUAUUCACUCGCCUACAGAAUGAUUAAUAUUUGAUUCUUUGGAGGUAAUCCUCGUAACAAAUGAACCAGGGAACCACUUACAAUGCAACUUAAGAGCUCCAAGGGCCUAAGCCAACAAAAAGGACAAUACAUCAAAAGAGAAAGAAAAAAAAAAACACAAAGCUACUCGAUGAACACA